This 452-nucleotide ribosomal RNA is filed under the name uncultured bacterium. RNAcentral's name for it is "bacterial SSU rRNA". It matches the Rfam family "Bacterial small subunit ribosomal RNA", at positions 29 to 526 of the family's 1533-position model. The record is from RNAcentral.
AACGAACGCUGGCGGCAGGCCUAACACAUGCAAGUCGAGCGAGAACUUCGGUUCUAGCGGCGGACGGGUUAGUAACGCGUGGGAAUAUGCCCUUCACUACGGAAUAGUCCCGGGAAACUGGGUUUAAUACCGUAUACGCCCUUCGGGGGAAAGAUUUAUCGGUGAAGGAUUAGCCCGCGUUGGAUUAGGUAGUUGGUGGGGUAAUGGCCUACCAAGCCGACGAUCCAUAGCUGGUUUGAGAGGAUGAUCAGCAACACUGGGACUGAGACACGGCCCAGACUCCUACGGGAGGCAGCAGUGGGGAAUCUUACACAAUGCGCGAAAGCCUGACGCAGCAACGCCGCGUGGGGGAAGAAGGCCUUCGGGUUGUAAAGCUCUUUCAGCUGGGAAGAUAAUGACGGUACCAGCAGAAGAAGCCCCGGCUAACUCCGUGCCAGCAGCCGCAGUAAUAC